RNAcentral lists this ribosomal RNA (497 nucleotides) under uncultured bacterium. RNAcentral describes it as "partial 16S ribosomal RNA". It matches the Rfam family "Bacterial small subunit ribosomal RNA", at positions 28 to 507 of the family's 1533-position model. The record is from RNAcentral.
GAUGAACGCUGGCGGCGUGCCUAAUACAUGCAAGUCGAGCGAACAGACGAGGAGCUUGCUCCUCUGACGUUAGCGGCGGACGGGUGAGUAACACGUGGAUAACCUACCUAUAAGACUGGGAUAACUUCGGGAAACCGGAGCUAAUACCGGAUAAUAUAUUGAACCGCAUGGUUCAAUAGUGAAAGACGGUUUUGCUGUCACUUAUAGAUGGAUCCGCGCCGCAUUAGCUAGUUGGUAAGGUAACGGCUUACCAAGGCAACGAUGCGUAGCCGACCUGAGAGGGUGAUCGGCCACACUGGAACUGAGACACGGUCCAGACUCCUACGGGAGGCAGCAGUAGGGAAUCUUACGCAAUGGGCGAAAGCCUGACGGAGCAACGCCGCGUGAGUGAUGAAGGUCUUCGGAUCGUAAAACUCUGUUAUUAGGGAAGAACAAAUGUGUAAGUAACUAUGCACGUCUUGACGGUACCUAAUCAGAAAGCCACGGCUAACUACGUG